This 90-nucleotide transfer RNA is filed under the name Stegodyphus mimosarum. Its description in RNAcentral is "tRNA-Tyr for anticodon GUA". It matches the Rfam family "tRNA". From Rfam's summary of the family: Transfer RNA (tRNA) molecules are approximately 80 nucleotides in length. Their secondary structure includes four short double-helical elements and three loops (D, anti-codon, and T loops). The record is from Rfam by way of RNAcentral. Lineage: Eukaryota; Metazoa; Arthropoda; Arachnida; Araneae; Eresidae.
CCGUCGAUAGCUCAGUUGGCAGAGCGGUGGACUGUAGCGGAAUCUAUAGCAGUUAUCCAUAGGUCGCUGGUUCGACUCCGGCUCGACGGA